UACGUAGGGUGCGAGCGUUAAUCGGAAUUAUUGGGCGUAAAGCGCGCGCAGGCGGUUUCUUAAGUCUGAUGUGAAAGCCCACGGCUCAACCGUGGAGGGUCAUUGGAAACUGGGGAACUUGAGUGCAGAAGAGAAAAGCGGAAUUCCACGUGUAGCGGUGAAAUGCGUAGAUAUGCGGAGGAACACCGGUGGCGAAGGCGGCCAUCUGGACGACGACUGACGCUGAGACGCGAAAGCGUGGGGAGCAAACAGG
Molecule: ribosomal RNA, 253 nt
Filed under: uncultured bacterium
Lineage: Bacteria
Description: partial 16S ribosomal RNA
Rfam family: Bacterial small subunit ribosomal RNA
Source: RNAcentral